Non-coding RNA from Caenorhabditis elegans, 21 nucleotides. The record is from Ensembl. NCBI's taxonomy places the organism in Eukaryota, Metazoa, Nematoda, Chromadorea, Rhabditida, Rhabditidae.
UCCUGAAGAAAUUGUGGAAAU